RNAcentral lists this unclassified non-coding RNA (20 nucleotides) under Chlamydomonas reinhardtii. RNAcentral's name for it is "small RNA Cre_4110". Lineage: Eukaryota; Viridiplantae; Chlorophyta; Chlorophyceae; Chlamydomonadales; Chlamydomonadaceae. The record is from RNAcentral.
UUUCCAGAGCCUGCAAGAGC